This 253-nucleotide ribosomal RNA is filed under the name uncultured bacterium. RNAcentral's name for it is "partial 16S ribosomal RNA". It matches the Rfam family "Bacterial small subunit ribosomal RNA", at positions 524 to 776 of the family's 1533-position model. The record is from RNAcentral.
UACGGAGGGUGCGAGCGUUGUUCGGAAUUACUGGGCGUAAAGCGCGUGUAGGCGGCCUUCUAAGUCUGGUGUGAAAGCCCGGGGCUCAACCCCGGAAGUGCAUUGGAUACGGGCAGGCUAGAGUGUGGUAGGGGAGAUCGGAAUUCCUGGUGUAGCGGUGAAAUGCGCAGAUAUCAGGAGGAACACCGGUGGCGAAGGCGGAUCUCUGGGCCAUUACUGACGCUGAGGAGCGAAAGCGUGGGGAGCGAACAGG